This 514-nucleotide ribosomal RNA is filed under the name uncultured bacterium. RNAcentral describes it as "partial 16S ribosomal RNA". It matches the Rfam family "Bacterial small subunit ribosomal RNA", at positions 28 to 523 of the family's 1533-position model. The record is from RNAcentral.
GACGGACGCUGGCGGCGUGCCUAAUACAUGCAAGUCGAGCGGAUGAAAGAGGAGCUUGCUCCUCUAGAUUCAGCGGCGGACGGGUGAGUAACACGUGGGCAACCUGCCCUGUAGAUUGGGAUAACUCCGGGAAACCGGGGCUAAUACCGAAUAAUCCUUCGGACCUCAUGGUCCGAUGUUGAAAGACGGUUUCGGCUGUCACUACAGGAUGGGCCCGCGGCGCAUUAGCUAGUUGGUGAGGUAACGGCUCACCAAGGCCACGAUGCGUAGCCGACCUGGGAGGGUGAUCGGCCACACUGGGACUGAGACACGGCCCAGACUCCUACGGGAGGCAGCAGUAGGGAAUCUUCCACAAUGGACGAAAGUCUGAUGGAGCAACGCCGCGUGAGUGAAGAAGGUUCUCGGAUCGUAAAACUCUGUUGUGAGGGAAGAACAAGUACCGGAGUAACUGCCGGUGCCUUGACGGUACCUCAUUAGAAAGCCACGGCUAACUACGUGCCAGCAGCAGCCGCCG